AAACCGAGUGUUCGCGGUGUGACCAUCAUGAACGGACAGUGCACGCCUUCCGAAGUCUGAGAUAAAUACACUACUGAGGGUAAAAACGGCGUGGCUCCGGGCGAGCUGCGAGUAAGAAGACCAACGUUUCAGAAUUACCUGCUGCCUCCAUCAUCAGGAUGUUCAUGUGAAGUAAAGGUUGUGUUGGAACGAUCCGAAUCAAAACGAUAUUACCCAGAUGAUUCCUUAAUUACAAUCCCCUGAGCAGUUAUCAAGGCGGAAAAUGAAGACAGAAGGAAGGAAAGACACAAAUUCUACAUUUUAUGAACGUUCUACAAAAAAUUUCUUGAAACUUCCGGUCCUGAGCCAGCGAUCCAUUACGAGGAUUCAAGAAAAUAUAAACGUCACAAAAACUAAUACUUAAAUUUUCUAAAACUUACUAGAGUUAAGAUACAUUAAUUAAGCGGCAUAUACAGUUGUAAUUAAAAGAGUAAAAUUUAUAUUUCUCUCUUCACAAAGCACAAAAGCCACUAUUGACCACAAGGAGUUUAAUACAUGUUUUCUUCUGAGGAGAGACACAAGUUCUUUAAAUUUUAUCAAAAAUUCGUAAAUUCUAAACAAUGCAAAUGAACAGACGUUAAUCCACAGAUCAUCUACCUAAUACUUUGUAAGAUAAUUAUUAUAAAUACUGGUGGAACACGAUGCCAAUUGUCAUUUUAUUUAGAUAUUAUACUAAACAGUGAACCAGA
Molecule: long non-coding RNA, 728 nt
Organism: Zootermopsis nevadensis
Lineage: Eukaryota; Metazoa; Arthropoda; Insecta; Blattodea; Termopsidae
Source: RefSeq, a predicted model, not a curated record